CCUACGGGUGGCAGCAGUGGGGAAUAUUGCACAAUGGGGGAAACCCUGAUGCAGCGACGCCGCGUGAAGGAAGAAGUAUUACGGUAUGUCAACUUCUAUCAGCAGGGGAGAAAAAGACGGUACCUGACUAAGAAGCCCCGGCUAACUACGUGCCAGCAGCCGCGGUAAUACGUAGGGGGCAAGCGUUAUCCGGAUUUACUGGGUGUAAAGGGAGCGUAGGCGGCGAUGCAAGUCAGCAGGGAAAGCCCGGGGCUCAACUCCGGGACUGCUUUUGAAACUGUAUGGCUAGAUUGCAGUGGAGGCAAGUGGAAUGCCUAGUGUAGCGGUGAAAUGCGUAGAUAUUAGGAGGAACACCAGUGGCGAAGGCGGCUUGCUGGACUGUAAAUGACGCUGAGGCUCGAAAGCGUGGGGAGCAAACAGGAUUAGAUACCCCUGUAGUC
This 440-nucleotide ribosomal RNA is filed under the name uncultured bacterium. RNAcentral describes it as "partial 16S ribosomal RNA". It matches the Rfam family "Bacterial small subunit ribosomal RNA", at positions 338 to 795 of the family's 1533-position model. The record is from RNAcentral.